UGAGUUCCUCUGACAGACAGGACAACAGAUAUGAGCAUGCAGGGCGGCAGCCCGAAAUGCGAAUAGCUGUUAUGGAUUGCGAAAGCAGCAGCGCUGCGAAGCAAUCCAUGGGACUUA
Oribacterium sp. oral taxon 078 is the source of this 117-nucleotide non-coding RNA. Lineage: Bacteria; Bacillati; Bacillota; Clostridia; Lachnospirales; Lachnospiraceae. The record is from Rfam.